GCGAUUUUAGUUUAAGUUUAAAAUGAUAGUUUGUCUCACUAUAGAUGAUGUUUAUCAAGUUGCU
This 64-nucleotide transfer RNA is filed under the name Rhinebothroides sp. MZUSP 8017. RNAcentral describes it as "tRNA-Asp". The record is from RNAcentral. Lineage: Eukaryota; Metazoa; Platyhelminthes; Cestoda; Rhinebothriidea; Rhinebothriidae.